RNAcentral lists this ribosomal RNA (478 nucleotides) under uncultured Bacteroidota bacterium. Its description in RNAcentral is "uncultured Bacteroidetes bacterium partial 16S ribosomal RNA". Lineage: Bacteria; Pseudomonadati; Bacteroidota. The record is from RNAcentral.
CGAUUUACGGCGAUGGACGUACCAGGGAUAUCUAAUCCUGCUUCGCUCUCCACGCUUUCGUACAUUAGCGUCAAUAAUACCUUAGUAAGCUGCCUUCGCAAUCGGUGUUCUACGACAUCUCUAUGCAUUUCACCGCUACAUGUCGUAUUCCGCCUACUUCAAGUAUAUUCAAGAAAACCAGUAUCAAUAGCAGUUCCAUCGUUGAGCGAUGGGCUUUCACUACUGACUUAAUCUUCCGCCUACGUACCCUUUAAACCCAAUAAAUCCGGAUAACGCUUGGACCCUCCGUAUUACCGCGGCUGCUGGCACGGAGUUAGCCGGUCCUUAUUCGUGUAGUACCGUCAGCUCAGUACACGUACUGAGGUUUCUUCCUACAUAAAAGCAGUUUACAACCCAUAGGGCAGUCAUCCUGCACGCGGCAUGGCUGGUUCAGAGUUGCCUCCAUUGACCAAUAUUCCUCACUGCUGCCUCCCGUAGG